This is a long non-coding RNA of Anguilla anguilla (European eel), 851 nucleotides long. RefSeq lists it as uncharacterized. The transcript has 3 exons. NCBI's taxonomy places the organism in Eukaryota, Metazoa, Chordata, Actinopteri, Anguilliformes, Anguillidae. The record is from RefSeq and is a predicted model, not a curated record.
AGGAGACUGCCACAGCAGCUGAUGUGGAAGAAUCCCUGGCCUUCCAGAAAGCCCUCGACUGAUAAUACUUGGUGAGAAGCUGAGUGAACAAUGCUGGAUGGUCACCAUUGAGCCCCAGGUAGUGUUUCAAGGGGUCCAGCCAACCUUUCUCCCUGGACUUGCAGCACUUUUGGCAUGCUAAUACAAUUUCAACCUUCAGUACCAGGAAGAGGCUGCUUGUACCCUUGAGUACAUUCAGAGGAGUUUCCUUGGGAUCAAUCCCAAAAAAGGAUCAAAGUCCUGCCAAGGGAAGAUGGUCAGCAAAAAGACAGGACAAGUCGUGCAGAAGAAGUCCACCUCUGUCAACCCACAUGUCUGCACAUUGCUUCGGAGGCUGACUGAGUUUGAAUGGGACUUUGUGUAAUGUGAGUGGGCUCAACAGACGUCUGUAUGUUGCAGCCAAAAGACAGAACUGCCACUAGAGAUGGUAAAACAGUAUCAAUUUUUUCUUUGUCAAUUUCACAAUGUUUUCCAUGUAACUCUUAUCGUUUUUCAUUUCAGUCAUUUUGCUUAUUGUUUUUUGCAGAUGUGUUAUCGUUUAGCGGUUAACCGUUAAAAAGUACUUUUUACUUUUUUACUUAUACUUUUGACUGGAUAAUAUUGACAUGAAAAUAUAUACUUUAGCUUUCAUUUUAUACCUCAUUUGAUAUGGUAUUAUGAUUUUGAAUUUUGAGUCAUCAUAUCCUGUUUUAUGUGGAAAUGCCCAUAAGUUACCCGCCUCUGUAUUUUUGUUUGAGGUGCUGUUAUCAGAAAACAUUUACGUUUAUUUGCUUUAGAGCAAUGUACAGCAAGUUUCUGUCUGUCUGAAAUAA